GACGAACGCUGGCGGCGUGCUUAACACAUGCAAGUCGAACGGAAAGGCCCUGCUUUUGUGGGGUGCUCGAGUGCCGAACGGGUGAGUAACACGUGAGUAACCUGCCCUUGACUUUGGGAUAACUUCAGGAAACUGGGGCUAAUACCGGAUAGGAGCUCCUGCUGCAUGGUGGGGGUUGGAAAGUUUCGCCGGUUGGGGAUGGACGCGCGGCUUAUCAGCUUGUUGGUGUGGUAGUGGCUUACGAAGGCUUUGACGGGUAGCCGGCCUGAGAGGGUGACCGGCCACGUUGGGACUGUGAUACGGCCCAGACCCGUACGGAAGGCAGCAGUGGGGAAUAUUGCAGAUUAAGCGGACGUCUGAAGCAGCAACGCGGAGUGCGGGAAGACGGCCUUCGGGUUGUAAACCGCUUUCGCAUGUGACAGUGCAGGAGUGACGGUAAUGGGUAAAGAAGCACCGGAUAACUACGUG
Molecule: ribosomal RNA, 468 nt
Filed under: uncultured bacterium
Lineage: Bacteria
Description: partial 16S ribosomal RNA
Rfam family: Bacterial small subunit ribosomal RNA
Source: RNAcentral